RNAcentral lists this ribosomal RNA (495 nucleotides) under Triticum aestivum (bread wheat). RNAcentral's name for it is "partial small subunit ribosomal RNA". The record is from RNAcentral. Lineage: Eukaryota; Viridiplantae; Streptophyta; Magnoliopsida; Poales; Poaceae.
AUGCUCACCACUCGGCCCUCCCCAUCGCGCUCCCGAUCCAGAUCCAUCCCUUCCCCACUCUCAGAUCCAACUGGCCCGAGACAGAGGCCGUCGUGGACAUGGUCGCCAUCAUCCCACCAGCCGGAUCAUCGGCGGCGAGCAGCGUCCGUGAUGGAGAUGGAGCAUAGGGCCUACGGGCGCGUGGGCCUCCUCGGCAACCCCAGCGACGUCUACGGCGGCCGCGCCGUCUCCUUCACCGUCGCCGGCCUCUGGGCCACCGUCUGCCUCCGCCCCUCCGACCAGCUCCUCGUCCAGCCCCACCCGCGCCACGACCUCGUCGCCUUCCCCUCCCUCCACGCCCUCGUAAGCGCCCCUCCUCCUCCCCCUCCCCCAUCCCUCGCAAUGGAUAUAGAUACAUCAACGCCGGUGCAUGAACGGACAGAUCUAGCAAGCGCAAAUCAACCCAUCCAUUGCACCGCGGCGCAGAUGAUCCAUCGAAUCCAUGUCCAGGUGUAG